Long non-coding RNA from Venturia canescens, 307 nucleotides. RefSeq lists it as uncharacterized. The transcript has 3 exons. The record is from RefSeq and is a predicted model, not a curated record. NCBI's taxonomy places the organism in Eukaryota, Metazoa, Arthropoda, Insecta, Hymenoptera, Ichneumonidae.
UACAGGAAAUACAAACAUCGAGUGUCAUAUGCUAUCUGGUUUGGUCCCGUCGUAUAUAAGUCGUACACCGAGUAUUCGAUCUUCAGAAGCGUAGUUCACACCGCCGUUGCCGUAUUCUUAAUCGUAUACGAGUUCCAGCAGCAUACGAAGUGUCGAGUUUUAUUCAAGAGUAGCACCCAAAAUGAUACGAAGCUGUACUCUCGUCGUGCUGUGUGCCGUGGUCGUACUCGGUAACGGACGACGGAUCAGUGGAGAUUCAUCUCAGAAACUUUUAGCUCGUAGCACCAGAAUGAUUGGCGGUUCCGAA